RNAcentral lists this ribosomal RNA (436 nucleotides) under uncultured bacterium. RNAcentral describes it as "partial 16S ribosomal RNA". It matches the Rfam family "Bacterial small subunit ribosomal RNA", at positions 29 to 507 of the family's 1533-position model. The record is from RNAcentral.
AGCGAACGCUGGCGGCAGGCUUAACACAUGCAAGUCGAACGCAUCACUUCGGUGGUGAGUGGCAGACGGGUGAGUAACACGUGGGAACGUACCCUUCGAUCUGGGAUAACUUCGGGGAAACUGGGGCUAAUACCGGAUACGCCCUUUUGGGGAAAGGUUUACUGUCGAAGGAUCGGCCCGCGUCUGAUUAGCUAGUUGGUGGGGUAACGGCCUACCAAGGCGACGAUCAGUAGCUGGUCUGAGAGGAUGAUCAGCCACACUGGGACUGAGACACGGCCCAGACUCCUACGGGAGGCAGCAGUGGGGAAUAUUGGACAAUGGGCGCAAGCCUGAUCCAGCCAUGCCGCGUGAGUGAUGAAGGCCUUAGGGUUGUAAAGCUCUUUUGUCCGGGACGAUAAUGACGGUACCGGAAGAAUAAGCCCCGGCUAACUUCGUG